This 253-nucleotide ribosomal RNA is filed under the name uncultured bacterium. Its description in RNAcentral is "partial 16S ribosomal RNA". It matches the Rfam family "Bacterial small subunit ribosomal RNA", at positions 524 to 776 of the family's 1533-position model. The record is from RNAcentral.
UACGUAGGGCGCAAGCGUUGUCCGGAAUUAUUGGGCGUAAAGAGCUCGUAGGCGGCCAGUUGCGUCUGCUGUGAAAUCCCGGGGCUCAACCCCGGGCGUGCAGUGGAUACGGGCUGGCUAGAGGCAGGCAGGGGAGAACGGAAUUCCCGGUGUAGCGGUGAAAUGCGCAGAUAUCGGGAGGAACACCGGUGGCGAAGGCGGGUCUCUGGGCAGUAACUGACGCUGAGGAGCGAAAGCGUGGGGAGCGAACAGG